Molecule: ribosomal RNA, 496 nt
Filed under: uncultured Flavobacteriales bacterium
Lineage: Bacteria; Pseudomonadati; Bacteroidota; Flavobacteriia; Flavobacteriales
Description: bacterial SSU rRNA
Rfam family: Bacterial small subunit ribosomal RNA
Source: RNAcentral
GAUGAACGCUAGCGGGAGGCUUAACACAUGCAAGUCGAGGGGUAUAAUGUAGCUUGCUAUAUUAGAGACCGGCGGAUGGGUGAGUAACACGUGUGCAAUCUGCCUCUAUCAAUGGGAUAGCCCGAAGAAAUUCGGAUUAAUACCGUAUAAUAUAAUUAAUUGCAUAAUUAAUUAUUGAAAGAGUAUAGCUUGAUUUAUUUAAGAGAUAUAUCGGAUAGAGAUGAGCACGCGCAUGAUUAGUUAGUUGGUAAGGUAACGGCUUACCAAGGCAACGAUCAUUAGGGGGCCUGAGAGGGUGAUCCCCCACACUGGUACUGAGACACGGACCAGACUCCUACGGGGAGGCAGCAGGUGGGAAUAUUGGACAAUGGGGUGAGAGCCCUGAUCCCAGCCCAUCCCCGCGUGAAGGGAAGACGGUCCUAUGGAUUGUAAACUUUCUUUUGUAUAGGAAUUAAACCUACUUACGUGUAAGUAGCUGAAGGUACUAUACGAAUAA